RNAcentral lists this long non-coding RNA (4632 nucleotides) under Homo sapiens (human). RNAcentral describes it as "HSALNT0075381". The record is from RNAcentral. Lineage: Eukaryota; Metazoa; Chordata; Mammalia; Primates; Hominidae.
AGCUGUGGUGCGUGCCGCUAAGUUGUGCGUUCCAGGGUGCACUCGCCGGCGAGGCUGCACGGCGCCGGUUUCAUUGCUAAAAUCCGACGGACUUGUUGCAGAACUCGUUUUUUUUGUCGGGAAAGGGCUUCCCCGUGUAACUUUACAGCAGUUAUCGUAGAUAAGACUUGCAAAUUACAGAUGUGGACGGUGAGGGAACGGGAAUUUCACUGAAAGCGCCUGAGAACCAGUAAGAGACCUGCAACAGCUUUGUGCUCCACUGGCGAAUGCUUCCUCCCCUAAUACACAUUAUGUGUGCUUGGAGACACAAGGAGUAAGAUACAGCCCCUCAAGGGACUCGUCAUAGGGAGAGGACACAGCUUUGGGAAUAAAGGGGCCACAAAGGAGGAGAGAGGAGUUUGCUGAAACUUCCCAAGCUCCCAUUCCAGCAGUUCCUGAAGGAUUCAUUUCUCUCUGAGGAUCUCAUGAGGUGGCUUAGCAGCUAGAAUCUCUUCCUUAACAGUGGGAAGAACAACUCCUGGAAAUUUAGGUCGACUUUGACUGGAUUUAAAAGAAAGCUGUACAAUUCCACUUCUGUAUAUACAACCAAAGGAAAUGAGAUGUGCAUACCCAUGUUCAAUGAAGCAUUAUUCACAAUAGCCAAAAUGUGGAACCAAUCCUUAAACAAAAGGAAAACAGAAAAUCUGCUCAAGGCACCUGAGAAAAUCACAACCCACACUUGCGAACCCCUAGGAGACCUAAAGCUGUGGUUUUACAAAUAAACAGAUAAGUAACAUUCCUACUCUUUCCUAUAGGUACUCAAUCUUCUUAACAACUCCCAUCCCACACAGGUUUGCAUCCCCAGCAGAUACAUAUGGCUAUGUGGUCACCCAUUCGAUCAGCCUAUAAAAGACUUGUCUUAUUUGAUAUUGUGAAACCCAUGGUUAUCAGUGUAUAUGAAAAUGUUUGGUUCAGGGGUCAAUGUACAAUAUGACAAGCAAAGUCCUCUAAUACACAGUUAUAUAAAAUCACUCACCUGAGAGCCAAGUGGACAAUUGGCCUUAUAUUGGCUGGAGUUGGAGCCCCAGAGGGAAAAUUUGCCUAUUAUUAGGCAACUCUUCAAAACUUUACUUAUUCGUUUCUAAACACUGUCUCAUAAAAUGGGGGAUGCUUUAGAUGAAUUAAGAUUAGCACUAGAUUACUUAUUCGUUGAAAAUUAGCACUAGAUUUCUUAUUGGUUGAACAAGGAGGAGUGUGCACCAUAAUCAAUAUAACCUGCUGCAGUUAUGUAAACACCUCAGGUCACAUAGAAGAAGAUAUACAGAAAAUACAUGAACAAGCUGUGUGGUUGCGUAAAUAUAACCAAGGCACCAAUCCCAACUGUAUCUGGUCAGCCAUUAGAAGCACCCUCCUGAGUCUCACUUGGUUGUUGCCCUUCCUAGGAACUUUGAUAGUUGUCUUAUUAUUAAUCUUUGGCCCUUGCUUGUUUAAAUUCUUGGUAAAGUUUGUGUUUUUUAGAUUACAACAAUUCCACAUAAAGAUGAUACUGACACAAAGCUUCCAAUCCAUCCCGUCUUCUGAACCGGGAAAUAAAGACACCCUGCCUUUAGGUGUCUUUAGAUCUAGAUCAGGCAUCUAGAGAUUUUUACUCCUCCAAUACUUGGCAGGGUCUAUGCCCGUAGACUCAUCAGGAUACCAUGUAAAUGAGGACCUCCCUUGGUACCCCAGAGGCCAACUGUAGACCCUUAUGAGAAAAUCCUGUCCCCAAAAUGAACAUCCACUGUCAGCAGGAAGAAGUUACAGAAGACCAGCCUUUGCCCUUACGAUUAAGGGUCCUCUUGUAAGUAGAGAGGGGAAUGUUAGGAAAGCAGGAGCCUAGGUGAUCCAGAGUGACACCAUUUUAAAAUAAACUCCACCUGAAAACUAGCAAGGCAUCUGCACACAUCUGUUUAGCAAGUAUAUACUUCUGUAACUGGAAUAAAAAGCGUUAUUUUAGAAUAUGCCUAUAGUUUGUAAUAAUUAGCCGAGGGAAAAAAAGUUCACAUUGGUGUAGGAAAAGUGCCCUAAUGGUCAUGGGUAAUAAUGGGACCGUGGUUCUGGUCAGUGAUUUGAUGGAAGGGGUGUAGAUAAUAUAUUGUUGUAAAUAAUAAAAAUAAAAAAUUGUUGUAAGUAAUAAAAAUAAAAUAAUAUUGUUGUAAGUAAUAAAGUAGGAGAAAUAUUUGGUCUUUUGCUUUUGGGUUAGUGCAACAGUAGUACCAUUACUUGGAGGAGAAGUUAGAGAAGGACAAGAAUAGGCUUGAAUAAGAUGAGUGAGAAGAGAGAAAAAUUCCGUAAGUGGAGAUGGCCAGGGAACACCAGGGCAGCAGAAUCUAACUCUGAAUUUAAUGCUGUUGUCUGUUCAUAUUGCACUGCGCUGUAAUCUCCCUAUCUUUCCUAAACCAUUGGCAAAGUCUGCUAUCCACUGGGGCCUUGGGUCGGUGGUGCUUUGGGAAAUACCAGAAGAGGGAAAGUACGGCAAAUGUGCAGUGUCACAGAUGAUAGGAGGAAAGCUGGCCAGUGGGAUGAUUAAAACAAUUUCGGUGGGAGUGGGAAUUCAGACCAUGUAAAUGGUCUGAAUUAAGAAAAUUUCAAGAAACAAAAAAUGUUUCUAAUGAGCCAAAGUGAAAGCUCUUCAUGAUUUCUUUAUAGAGGCUCUCUAGUGCUUGUCCUAAUUUCCUGAAAUCUCAUGGGUAUCUUACUCUCCUGGUGCCCGCCUCAAACAUUCACUGUAGCAAUUAUAUGAGCAGCCUAGAGAAUCCCAAUCCCAGUGGUCUUGCUCCCUGGAUCUACUUUCUCUUAAAAAUCAUUCCCCUAAGUUUCCGUCACUUGGUUGAAGUUUAGUAGAUAUCUCCACAUCUCCAGCUAGAACAGCACCAGAAUUUCAGGACUAGGGCAAUAGAGUCUGAUAUUAAAUUCUAUUUCUAUCUAUCUAUCUAUCAUCUAUCUAUCUAUCUAUCUAUCUAUCUAUCUAUCUAUCUAUCUAUCUACAGAACAAUUUGUGGGAUAGUAGCUUUGGGGUCCCAGAUCUAGGAUGGGCCUGGUCCUCCAUGCUGGUUCUCCUGGGUGAUAUUUCUGUUAGUUUGAACAGUAAUCACACUUUUAUUACUGUUUCAUCUUUUUUUUUUCACUCUUAGACUGAUUUUAUCAUGUGUAUAAAACAUACACACACCUACAUCUCAAGGAUAAACAUUAAUCCUUGAAAAAUAUGUGGUCUAAAACUAUAUUGAGGAGAGAAAGAUAGGACACUUUAAUUGCCACAUGAUUAACACGAGGUCACCACACAGCUUUCACAAAUCUACAAGUCAUUCUAUUUAGGCUGAGUCAAGUUCUCCCUUGGGCCAGCCAGAGCACAAAUAAUGGAGCAAUGUGACUCUUCAAUGACAGAUCUCUGAUUUCCAGAAAAGAGACUUUGAAAUACCCAAUUCUAGUAAAUAUGCAAUUAAAUUUCCAGCUAAAUGACCUUUGCUCCUGUAGUCUUCAUCUUGGGGAAGGGAAAGAAGUCUUAUUCUGUUUAAUAGUUUGAUUUUUAUAAUAGGGUUUGUCUCUGUUAUAAAUCUUGUUUGAUAUUUAAAAUGUUAGCUAAGAGAAAACUUCUGUUUGUUUUUAUUUAGUGGGAAGAAACUAACCCUCAUUGAGUGCCUAGUUAACAUCAGGCACUUUGUACACAUAAUCAAUUGAAUCUUGACCACAACCCUGUGAGAUCCAUGGAUGAUUCUGGGUUUAGUUCUUUGUGAGACUGCCAGAAACUCCCAGAGGCUGGAUCUAUGCAUAAAGAGAGGCCAUUGGAGAGAAUGUCUACUGAAUUGCUGAAGACAAUUGCUACCGAGAAUAGAUCGUAACUUAGGAAGAAACAAUUCAGUACCAAAAGAGUAAUUGGAGCCCUUCUGGAAAACACUAGUAAGGUGAAAAAUGAGAAGAUUAAAUAAGCCAUGGGAAGAUUUUUUAAAAUGACAUGAAACUCCAAGGGUAAAAAGCAUUUCCACCUUUCCCUGCUUCAUCCAUACCUCCAAAAACAGAACCCUUCAAAGAACGUCCUGAGAAGAACAACUGGCCACUGAUUUUGAGUUGAACACUGGCAGGCAACACCCCAACAACCACACAGACCCCAUAGCUCUCAUUGCAGGAGGCGAGGGCAGCUGCCUGUUAGAAAGUGAUGCAAUACAGUAUAGGGGUUAAAAGAUGUAUGUGAGGAUUGAGCCUACAUCUUAAUUUCAGCUUAACUCCUAAAUGGUCUAUGACUUUCUUUUCUGAUUCUCCCUAUUCUCAUUUGAAGUAACAUUUAUCUUGUAAGGAUGCUAUGAAACACAUAUAAGACGUUGUAUGUUGCUUAGUAUAGUACCUGGCACUUUAGGACUCAAUAAAUGGAAAUAACAAAAAUGAAAAUAGUAAAAACAUCCACAGUAGUGAUAAUAAUAAAAAUAAUUUUUAUAAAAAUUAUUACUGAUGCAGGUGGCUGGUAAGAAUUGACAUUUUUCUUUUAGACAUCUAAGAAGACAGAUAUUUAUAUAAUAAGAUGAUAGCAAAGUGAGAAACAGAUACCGUUACAUUCGUUAUGUUCAAAGGCUAUUUCUCAGAGUAAGAGUGUGAGAAAGGUUUUGCUGUUUCUUCUUACAG